This 240-nucleotide unclassified non-coding RNA is filed under the name soil metagenome. RNAcentral's name for it is "partial contains 5.8S ribosomal RNA, internal transcribed spacer 2, and large subunit ribosomal RNA". The record is from RNAcentral.
AACCAUAGAAACCUGCGGAGUACCUGCGGAAGGAUCAUUAAAGAGUGAUACCUCCCUUCAAAGGGCUGGUAGUAAACUCCAACCCCUAUGUUUUUAUUUACCUUUUUGUUGCUUAGGCGGUUCGUAAAGCAUUUUUUUUUUUAAAAAAAAUGGCUUUCCAUUGGCUUUUUUCUUAGGCUGAUGAGUUUUAACCGCCUAAGGACUUAAAAACUCUUUGAAAUUUAAGUUUAUUGUCUGAGA